Molecule: ribosomal RNA, 836 nt
Filed under: uncultured bacterium
Lineage: Bacteria
Description: bacterial SSU rRNA
Rfam family: Bacterial small subunit ribosomal RNA
Source: RNAcentral
UCANCCAUAGUGUGCUCUGGAAACUNUCUGACUUGAGUGCAGAAGGGGAGAGUGGAAUUCCAUGUGUAGCGGUGAAAUGCGUAGAUAUAUGGAGGNACACCAGUGGCGAAAGCGGCUCUCUGGUCUGUCACUGACGCUGAGGCUCGAAAGCGUGGGUAGCGAACAGGAUUAGAUACCCUGGUAGUNCACGCCGUAAACGAUGAGUGCUAGGUGUUAGGCCCUUUCCGGGGCUUAGUGCCGGAGCUAACGCAAUAAGCACUCCGCCUGGGGAGUACGACCGCAAGGUUGAAACUCAAAGGAAUUGACGGGGGCCCGCACAAGCGGUGGAGCAUGUGGUUUAAUUCGAAGCAACGCGAAGAACCUUACCAGGUCUUGACAUCCCGAUGCUAUUCUUAGAGAUAGGAAGUUACUUCGGUACAUCGGAGACAGGCGGUGCAUGGUUGUCGUCAGCUCGUGUCGUGAGAUGUUGGGUUAAGUCCCGCAACGAGCGCAACCCUUAUUGUUAGUUGCCAUCAUUAAGUUGGGCACUCUAGCGAGACUGCCGGUAAUAAACCGGAGGAAGGUGGGGAUGACGUCAAAUCAUCAUGCCCCUUAUGACCUGGGCUACACACGUGCUACAAUGGUCGGUACAACGAGUUGCGAGCCGGUGACGGCAAGCUAAUCUCUGAAAGCCGAUCUCAGUUCGGAUUGGAGGCUGCAACUCGCCUCCAUGAAGUCGGAAUCGCUAGUAAUCGCGGAUCAGCACGCCGCGGUGAAUACGUUCCCGGGCCUUGUACACACCGCCCGUCACACCACGAGAGUUUGUAACACCCGAAGUCGGUGAGGUAACCUUUUAG